AGAGUUUGAUCAUGGCUCAGAAUCAACGCUGGCGGCGUGCCUCAGACAUGCAAGUCGAACGAUUAAACUUGCCUUCGGGCAAGAUAUAAAGUGGCGCACGGGUGAGUAACACGUAAGUAAUCUACCUCUGAGUGGGGAAUAACGUUCGGAAACGGACGCUAAUACCGCAUAAUGCAGCGGCACCGCAAGGUGACAGUUGUUAAAGAUUUAUCGCUUAGAGAGGAGCUUGCGGCAGAUUAGCUAGUUGGUAAGGUAAUGGCUUACCAAGGCUACGAUCUGUAACCGGUCUUAGAGGACGGUCGGUCACACUGACACUGAAUAACGGGUCAGACUCCUACGGGAGGCAGCAGUCGGGAAUUUUGGGCAAUGGGCGAAAGCCUGACCCAGCAACGCCGCGUGAAGGAUGAAGUAUUUCGGUAUGUAAACUUCGAAAGAAUAGGAAGAAUAAAUGACGGUACUAUUUAUAAGGUCCGGCUAACUACGUGCCAGCCGCCGCGGUAAUAC
This 504-nucleotide ribosomal RNA is filed under the name uncultured bacterium. RNAcentral's name for it is "bacterial SSU rRNA". It matches the Rfam family "Bacterial small subunit ribosomal RNA", at positions 8 to 526 of the family's 1533-position model. The record is from RNAcentral.